UGUAUACAGCCAUCAACGACCAACUAUCCAGUACCUAUGUUAGAGUGUAUCUGUGUAUUUUAUCAUAUUAUUAUCCUCCUAUAUGUGUACGUGCAACCCUUAACAACUAACCCAUGGCCCAGAAAGGGUUGCAGACAAGAUGUCCUCACAGGGGCCUACCAGAUUGUGACGCAGGAAUAAGAGACCUUGAGAAAGGAAACAGAUUCUGUCAACAUAGCAGGGGGCCCACCUUGAGAUAUGUAAUGCUUUGUAUUAACCCUGUUUCACGGAGGCCUCACACAGCAUUGACUAGUUAAAGACAAGACCCAUGUAACCCCUCCCCUACCCUAUAAAUAAAGAAGCCAAGGGACUGUCCGGUGUGACACUCAACAGAGGCGCAGAUACUGUCUGUUGCACCUGAAGUGGGCACCCUUGCGCAAGUAAAACAGAAAGACGUGUGCUGUCUCGAUUAUUCCUGGGUCCUAGAAGUGGAAGUGUGUGAGUAGUAAGCUGCGGCGCUUCCUCACACAGGAGAUUGUAGGAGUGAAAGCUACGGCGCUUUCUCCAACAUAACUAGAUUGUAGGAGUGAAAGCUACGGCGCUUUCUCCUAACAUAAAUUGGUCCUUCGAGCCGGAUCCGGAGAGAGAUACCAGAGGGCGCCGACCAGUCCGCCGACGAACGACACCGAAAGCUGUCGACAGUCUCGCUCAUAGGGAGUGAGUGAAAGACCUGCGACGUGAAUUCGCCACAGGCCGGUGGUUAGAACUGUUCCCGGACGGCUGGGCUGGCGCCUGACGGGUCCCCGGACAAGAACUAGAACCACUUCGUCAUAAAGGAAGGACCAGGAAACGGUGAAGCCAGGUGAUUGGGUGUUGAUAAAAGUCCUACAAAGGAAAGACUGGACUUCACCUCGGUGGGACGGACCAUACCAAGUCCUCCUGACUACACCAACUGCCUUGAAGAUUGCAGAAAGACCUUCCUGGAUCCACAAGAGUCACUGUAAGCUCAUUCUGCCCUUACCAGACGCCUCACUCGCGGAGUAACAGUGGAAGUCCGCUACAAAGGCACGAAGAAACAAUAGGUUUUCGUUGUCUCAACCCGGUGAAGAAAACAGCUGAACUGUACUCCUUUAGGAUGGCUCUGGUAGGGUGUCCGUGGUGGGCUAAGGGAAUAUUGGGAAGUCUUUUCUGUCUUAUGGUAAUGUUGAUUCUAUGGCUGGUACCAGACACUGAGGUGCAGGAGAAGAAAAGGUGGACUCCGGACGGAGUGCACCUCACUAGCAUAAAAGGAGACGAAACCCAUCCAUUCCUACGGAACUAUUGGUAUCGAUAUGUAUAUGAUGUGGUAUCCAAUAAGAAUUUGACUAACUGCUACAAAGGCAAAUGGUGAUACAGAAUCGCAUGGCGCUAGAUCUCCUCACUGCAGUGCAAGGAGGAGUGUGCGUGCUGUUGAACCAAACCUGUUGUACAUACAUUCCUGACAAUGUGCAUUCACCCAACAUGACUAAGGCAAUGCAAAGGCUGAAGGACUUGCAAAUUGCUAUGACCACCGACACAAGGACGCAGAACGACUAUUGGAUGUCCUGGUUCACUACCGGGGCUUGGUGGUCCAUAUUACUCAAAUUGAGUAUACCAUUUUUUGCAUUCUUUGUGAUGUUCUUCUGUUGUUGUAUCACAGUGAUACCUUGUUUUCGUAUAAUGAUUAAUUCUGCCCUGAGCUCUGCUUUCCGAGCCCAGGAGAAUAUGUUUUUGUCCCUCACCCAAAACAUGGAAACAGAUGCAGAUGAAGAGGAGCAGGGGUGGAUGCAUGACGCACCAUGACGGACGGGCCGAAAUCCUCACCGGCAUGGCCCAGUCCCGAAGUUUAGAGAUGCUACACCCUUGUCUCUUUUUAUAUCACAGCAAAUGUAUAAUUAACAUGAUAAACAGGAGGGACUGUUAGAGUGUAUCUGUGUAUUUUAUCAUAUUAUUAUCCUCCUAUAUGUGUACGUGCAACCCUUAACAACUAACCCAUGGCCCAGAAAGGGUUGCAGACAAGAUGUCCUCACAGGGGCCUACCAGAUUGUGACGCAGGAAUAAGAGACCUUGAGAAAGGAAACAGAUUCUGUCAACAUAGCAGGGGGCCCACCUUGAGAUAUGUAAUGCUUUGUAUUAACCCUGUUUCACGGAGGCCUCACACAGCAUUGACUAGUUAAAGACAAGACCCAUGUAACCCCUCCCCUACCCUAUAAAUAAAGAAGCCAAGGGACUGUCCGGUGUGACACUCAACAGAGGCGCAGAUACUGUCUGUUGCACCUGAAGUGGGCACCCUUGCGCAAGUAAAACAGAAA
Long non-coding RNA from Brienomyrus brachyistius, 2309 nucleotides. RefSeq lists it as uncharacterized. Lineage: Eukaryota; Metazoa; Chordata; Actinopteri; Osteoglossiformes; Mormyridae. The transcript is spliced from 2 exons. The record is from RefSeq and is a predicted model, not a curated record.